RNAcentral lists this ribosomal RNA (253 nucleotides) under uncultured bacterium. RNAcentral describes it as "partial 16S ribosomal RNA". It matches the Rfam family "Bacterial small subunit ribosomal RNA", at positions 524 to 776 of the family's 1533-position model. The record is from RNAcentral.
UACGUAGGGGGCAAGCGUUGUCCGGAAUCAUUGGGCGUAAAGAGCGCGUAGGCGGUCCGGUAAGUCGGUUGUGAAAACUGGGGGCUCAACCCUCAGAGGCCGACCGAUACUGCCGGGCUAGAGUCCGGAAGAGGCGAGUGGAAUUCCUGGUGUAGCGGUGAAAUGCGCAGAUAUCAGGAGGAACACCGAUUGCGAAGGCAGCUCGCUGGGACGUAACUGACGCUGAGGAGCGAAAGCGUGGGGAGCGAACAGG